UUUUAAUUUUUUAAUAGUUAUUACUCAAUGAAAACAAUAAAUUAUGCUCUAUGAUAAGAAAAAAUUUAACUAUAAAAUAAUUGUAAACAAAAUUUGAUGAUAAAACUCACUAAAUGUAUUUUAGGUAGUGAAUGUACCAAGUAUUUCAAUCAUCCAUAGUUUCUAGAUAACAAUGAUUUAUUAGGUUACAAUCUAAUUUAAAACAAAUAAUAUUGAAUUAACUAAGUAGUAUUUUGAUUGCAUCAUCACAACAAAAUAAAAAGUUUGUGUGGUAUUUCAGAACACUGCUGACAUAUUUAGAACCUUAUAAAAAGUAUUACAAUUUUAAAAUAAGUUAAUUGUUAAUAAUUGUAUAUUUUUAUUUAUAUAAAACCUUAUCGAUGGCAAAAAAAUAUUAUUUAUAGAAAAAUAAUUUAUAGCAAUGUGCAUAAAAAUGGAAUACCUAUCAUAAGACAAAUAAAACACAAUUAGGUAUAUAAUAACAAAUUAAGAAUAAAAGAUAACAUGAAAAACAGCCAACAACAUUUGUGUCGGCUGAUGUCAAAACAAAAUGUCAUUUGUAAUGAACACAAUAUGCAGGAGUGUAUUAUCGUCAAAAAUAAUAUUGUACUUAUAGAUUUUGAUAAUUGAAAAAAAAAAACAAAACUUCCUAUACUUAAAAAAAAACAAGACACCAAUUAUUGCAUACUAUUAAGCGUAUACUGUCAUGACACCAAAACAAUUAAAAAUUUAAAUAUUCAAUUCACUCUUUUGUAGAGCUUGAUAUUUAAAAAACCCGUCACCGGGCAAUGGGGGUAACAAGAAAGACGGAAACCAGACUUUGUAUGUAAAAAACCAUGUACCCAUCGCCACCAGGCCAGCCAACAAUUUUUCCGGCAUCGUGUGGAAGUACAUCAUAGUGGUGAUGAGCAUCAGCUCCCAGACAGCUACAAACAACGUUAUGACAAUAAAAAACACUUGAGCAUAUGGAGUAAUUCGGCCAUAAAUAGUUUUCAGAGUCUGCAGUUCAUUUUCGUUCAGACUGCUAAACGUGGUGGCUACCCGUCUGCCUUCUGUGCGAGCGUUUUCCUCUUUGCGCAGCACGUCUUGUAUCUUGUCCCAGCCUAUGAUCGGUCUCGCUUCGCUGAUCAUCACCAAAGUGCUGUAUAUCAAUAUGAAUACAUGGCCGGAGAUGUCGAAUGACUUCCACACGUUGCCAGCAGACUUGCACGUUGUCCGCGUGUGUCCGACGCCUUUACUGCACUUACCGUAAUAUUCCUCCAGCCAAUUGAAACCAGACGUCCAAAAGUACCAGAAGAACGUGGCCACCGCCAGACGGGACGCGUGCUUUAAGACAGACGGCCUGGAGUCAAGACAAAACACCUUGCUGGUAGCUACCAAAAACAACAGGGUCCAUACCAGCGUCCAGAACCAACCCAAUUUCACCAGGUACUGGUUGAGGAACGUGUUGCUGUUGGCGAAAUAGAUUUUCGGGAAUUUCGCGAAAUCGCCGAUCACCGACGCGAUCAACAGGAUCAGGUACACGAACAGUCGUUUGUUCGUAGAGAAAAACAUGUAUUUCCGGCACACGAACAGGAACACCGUCAGGAAAAUGCUGAACACGGUUGUCGGUUCCCUGACUAACAGCGUACCUUUGGCCUCGGAUCGCAGAUUCAGACUCGAAGGUAUAUAAUUCGUUUCGACGGAUCCCGCCCGGGACGUGUUCCUCUUAGAAGUCAUAUUAAUUUUAAUAUAAUUGUAUCGGUUGAACGGUAUGGUUCCGCUCGAAUUCGAAAAUUACAUUAAUUAAUUAAUGUGUGUAUAAAUUAUAGUGAAAAAAAAAAUGAUUAUUACCGACGAAACGUCACAUCCUUUUUGUGUUUGAAUAAAAUGUAUACGAAUAAUAGGAAUUCACAAUUCAUUACUCAAUUUAUUCAACUGCUUAUAAUAUUGUAACUUUCACUAUUACGGACGUACAACAUACUUCUGAAUAAUUUAAUCAAGUUGUCAAAUUCUUAUCAGAUAGUAGUUUAAACGA
Molecule: long non-coding RNA, 2017 nt
Filed under: Cinara cedri
Lineage: Eukaryota; Metazoa; Arthropoda; Insecta; Hemiptera; Aphididae
Source: RNAcentral